UUGUGGUUGCGCAUAUUUACUUUGGGACUAUGGGUUUGAUUCCCGGGAGAUCCCCUUGCAUAUUUACUUUGGGACUACGGGUUUGAUUCCCGGCAAAUCCCCCUGCAUAUUACUUUGGGACUGCGGGUUUGAUUCCCGAGAGAUCCCCCUGCAUAUUUACUUUGGGACUACGGGUUGGCUUCCCGGGAGAUCCCUCUGUACUUGAUAUGUUCUGGACUGAGGGUGUGGGAUACCAAGAGAUCCCUGGCACAUGAGAUUGUAAGAUAUGAG
RNAcentral lists this long non-coding RNA (270 nucleotides) under Nicotiana benthamiana. RNAcentral describes it as "long non-coding RNA (NBEN_LNC041322)". Lineage: Eukaryota; Viridiplantae; Streptophyta; Magnoliopsida; Solanales; Solanaceae. The record is from RNAcentral.